UGGGUUGUGGCUCAGUGGUAGAGCAAUCAUCUUGCAUGGGUGAGGCUCUGGGUUCAAUCCUCAGCACCACAA
Molecule: non-coding RNA, 72 nt
Organism: Ictidomys tridecemlineatus (thirteen-lined ground squirrel)
Lineage: Eukaryota; Metazoa; Chordata; Mammalia; Rodentia; Sciuridae
Source: Rfam